UAGGUCUCUCUUUCUUUUUUCUUUUCCAGUCUCAGUGUUCCAGUGUGCCAUACUAUAUCCCCCUCCUUUCUUUUAAUAUAUAUAUAUAUAGUAGUCCUAUCCAAACGAAGUGGGUGUAAAGAGCGGAUAAUAAAAAAGAGUGGAAGAGAGAGAGAGAGAGAGAAAAGAGAGUAAAGCCCACAGUCUUGUCUGUGUUGGCCAGUUGUUGCAGUGGAGUCGACCGGGCUGGUCGCACGUUCUUAACAAAACAAAAAAAAAACACGGCCGUGUUUGUGCUAUAACAAACACAAGUGUGCGUCUACGUCUGCCGUAAGCGUGUGCGGGGCAAAACCAAAACAAAUAAGGCAAAAGAAAAUGUCCUCACCUUUGAGUUUGUGUUGAAUCAAAACAGAAGAAAAGACGAAACGAAAAUGCCGUUCGUGUUGCGGCAAGUGACACCGGUGCGUCUGAGUCGAUUGCCGACGGCCGACCACCAACAAGACCGGACCAAGGUAAUGAGAGUAGCAGACGACGACGACGACGCGCGUCAGUGCAUCAGCAAUCACACGCUGUCUGCUUGUCUGAGGCAGUUGGCCUCGUUGGUUUCACUGGCGUCCGACAUCUUCACCCAGUGUCACGACCAGGCCAACGAUUUGCAUCGACGCACCGUUCAAUUGCGCCAACGACUCGACCGGCUGCAAACCAACGCCGACCAACGUCUCGAUUCCCGAGCUGUUCCAAUCCCCGAAGGCGAUUUGGCAGCGUUCAGUCACGAUCACAAGACCAAUCAUUUCACAAGUGGCAGCCCGGCAGCUGCUACUGGGACAGCGACUCAAGUGCCGGAACUGAAUUUAGUGACGCCAUCCAACCGUCCCAACGCUCUGGCCGUCCUGUACGACAAAGCCGCAGCGCUGGACGUUUCGCCGGCUGUCAACCGGCCCGAGAGUUUAGUGCUGCUAAUGGCCAACGGCGGCAAAGGCAUCAGCUAUUUAGACGCGGCCGAUUACGGCCGCCUGAUGGAGCUGGGCGCGACGCUGCGCCGCUCGCGUCGCAAACAUCGAACCAACGUCCUGGAGAUUGAAACGCGCCGACCGGCCAGUUUGGCUCACAUGAGGCAAUGGCUCACCGAUGAUGAGGGCGUCCUCGACGAUCUAUCAGCCCCCGUCGGGCCUGACAACCGACGUCACAUCGAUAACCAUCACACAGAUUGCGCCCUACCACACAGAUUGCCAUCGCCCGAGGAAAAGGCCAAAGCGGCUGCUUCGCAAGUGUUUCCGGCCGAGGUGGUGCGGCUGGACGUGACGGGCUCGGGUUUCGAGCGCAUGACCCAAUUCCGGCGCUCGUUGCAGCAUUUCGAGUACGUUGACGCGUCGGCUGGCGGGGGACAUGCAAACGAAGCGCAACGGGCCGCAAAGAGCCGCAAACGCAGCAAGAAAAAGUCGACCAAGAAACGACGCAACACGAUCGCCUGCGACGGCGACCGCGCACGACAUCCAACACGCCCUCAGGGUCAAUACUUCCACGCUCAGCAGGUUUUCAUAA
RNA transcript from Daphnia magna, 1521 nucleotides. RefSeq lists it as uncharacterized. The record is from RefSeq and is a predicted model, not a curated record. The transcript has 4 exons. NCBI's taxonomy places the organism in Eukaryota, Metazoa, Arthropoda, Branchiopoda, Diplostraca, Daphniidae.